AAUAACUAAUUGAACAGAUUGCGACUAAUUUUCGAGACAAAUUUUUUAGACCUAAUUGCCCUAUGAUUUAGUAGUGCUGCAGUAAAUAUUUGCUAAUGACGAGAUUAAUUAGGCUUAAUAAAUUCGUCUCGCGGUUUAAUGUUGGAUUCUGUAAGUUUUUUUUAUUAGUA
Molecule: unclassified non-coding RNA, 170 nt
Filed under: Oryza sativa (Asian cultivated rice)
Lineage: Eukaryota; Viridiplantae; Streptophyta; Magnoliopsida; Poales; Poaceae
Description: partial microRNA MIR446s precursor
Source: RNAcentral